This 32-nucleotide non-coding RNA is filed under the name Geobacter sulfurreducens KN400. The record is from RNAcentral. Lineage: Bacteria; Pseudomonadati; Thermodesulfobacteriota; Desulfuromonadia; Geobacterales; Geobacteraceae.
CUCCGGCUUAUCAUCAGGAGCACUACCACAGC